AGGGCACCACCAGGAGUGGAGCCUGCGGCUUAAUUUGACUCAACACGGGAAAACUCACCCGGCCCGGACACCGUAAGGAUUGACGGACUGAGAGCUCUUUCUUAAUUCGGUGGGUGGUGGUGCAUGGCCGUUCUUAGUUGGUGGAGCGAUUUGUCUGGUUAAUUCCGAUAACGAACGAGACUCUGGCCUAUUAAAUAGACGGUAUAUCUAGAAAAAGUAUACCGCGCUUCUUAGAGGGACAACCGGCGUCUAGCCGCGUGAAAUAGAGCAAUAACAGGUCUGUGAUGCCCUUAGAUGUCCCGGGCUGCACGCGCGCUACACUGAAAGAAUCAGUAUGCGCCGUCGCCUAGUUCGGAAGAACCGGGUAACCCGAGCAAAUUCUUUCGUGCUUGGGAUAGGGAAUUGCAAUUAUUUCCCUUAAACGAGGAAUUCCCAGUAAAUGCGGGUCAUAAGCUCGCGUUGAUUACGUCCCUGCCCUUUGUACACACCGCCCGUCGCUACUACCGAUUGGAUGACUUA
Molecule: ribosomal RNA, 519 nt
Filed under: uncultured eukaryote
Lineage: Eukaryota
Description: SSU rRNA
Rfam family: Eukaryotic small subunit ribosomal RNA
Source: RNAcentral